Long non-coding RNA from Colossoma macropomum (tambaqui), 903 nucleotides. RefSeq lists it as uncharacterized. The transcript has 4 exons. Lineage: Eukaryota; Metazoa; Chordata; Actinopteri; Characiformes; Serrasalmidae. The record is from RefSeq and is a predicted model, not a curated record.
AGUGGAUACUGACAUACGAUGCAGGCCUUAUUUUGCAAACAGGGCAAGUGAGGCAUCUGCCGCCACACUUUCAGAUUAGAGGAGGCAAACAUGGACCUAAUGAAUUCCGGUGGCAGAAAAAGAUUUUAGCAAGAGAAUUCAAAUUGCAUAUUCAUAUUGAGGGGAUACAGAUUAUUUCCUGUAAUCAAAUUUGAAUCUGUUUAAUGUAGAACAUGUUGCUUAAGAAGACAUUCCUAACACCUAGGAGUUUCCUGUGGGGUAACUGCAUCUAUUCUGUUCUCACUAAAACAAAGUGGAACUCAAAGGAAAUACAUACAAUCAAAUAACAUGUCCAGUACCAAAACAUCUACCCAUCUGUUGCCUGUACCCAUCUGAAGGACAGAGGAGAAUCAGAAUCAACUUCAAAAUUUUUGGAAUCAAACAGCCCUAAUGGCCAGGCUAAGGCUACAUGUUGUCAUUGACAGCGUCGUUGACAGGCAAGUAAAAACUACCUUGUCCUGAUUGGUUGAAUGUUGGAUAGUCCAUUUUCUUUCUCCCAUUUACAGAGCCUGGGACAGACAGGACUUUUUCCUCUAAACAUUUUUUGACAGCUGAUGUAAACUAAGGAGAAAUUUGCCAAAUAUUACAAAACAUGUUCUGGCAAUCACUGACUACCCUUUAGCAAGCGAUUCAGUGGAAGCUCUAAUAUUAAGCUCAUUACUGAAUUUAGCUGGUAUCCGUGAUCAAAAUAGCCUCCUAAAAACUGCUUGUGUACUGAUUGUGCCUAAAGGUAGUACACAGUCUACAGUAUUUGAUGAAUUUCUACAGAUAUGUGGAUAACGUACUAUCUUGCCAAAUAUUCCAGGAGGCAGCCUGAGCUAUCAUCAUGACAUACUGCAUCCCAUUGUGUGACACGAUCAUUUC